CGGCUUCCAGACAAGCCUGGAACCACAGAAUGAGUUCCAGCCAGAGAACCAGCAGCCUCCUUGGUAGUGAACAUAACCUGUUACUUGUACAGGUGCCUCUAAGGGGCCUUGGAGACAGUU
Molecule: small nucleolar RNA, 120 nt
Filed under: Jaculus jaculus (lesser Egyptian jerboa)
Lineage: Eukaryota; Metazoa; Chordata; Mammalia; Rodentia; Dipodidae
Description: Small nucleolar RNA SNORA70 (ENSJJAG00000001107.1)
Rfam family: Small nucleolar RNA SNORA70
About the family: snoRNA U70 seems to be exclusive to mammals and is a member of the H/ACA class of snoRNA which contain H (ANANNA) and ACA box motifs.
Source: Rfam by way of RNAcentral